GGAAAUAGCCAAAGCCCAACGGCUCUAGCUUCUAGUGUCGACACGUGGCCCAUGCCACAGACAAGCCCAUCAUAUUUCAGUAACCAGCGCGGGUCCCACCAUUUUUCAGAAGCACAUGGGCUCUGCCACCUCAACGUGGGGCCCAGUGAAUAGUAUUGGGUCCAGGCAAUACUUGGACCUAUAUUUGGGUCCAAAUUUGGAUUUUCUCAAAUUUUGGGUCCUUCCUUUUCUUGGGUUGGGAGAGGUUUGGGGGAAUAUUUUGGGUUUGAGUCCAAAGGUUGGAGAUGGCCUUAUGCAUAGGAUUACUGAAUAAAAAUCGUUCCACUACUUCUAUAGUGUGUUUACUAAUCAAGAAUUGAAUUCCACUUUUGAGGAUUCCUGUGUUUACUUCACAUCAAGGAAUUGAAAAAGUAAGUGGGGCUCAUGCAAAAUUAGGAAUUGAGGGCAUGUUUACGUAUCAGUAAUGGGUAUGGGAGGAAAGGGAAUGAUUUCCAUUCCUGACUUCCCCUGCGUUUACUUGCAAUCAGGAAUGAAAAAAUAAGUGGGCCCCACCUCAAAAUCCCUAAUCACAUUCCCUCAAAACUAGGUAUCAAAUCGACUAGGGGGGACUAGUCGAUACGAUUCCCAUUCCUGCUUUCUCUUAUUAACUUCCAAAAAUACCCUUACCACUUUACUAUAAUUCCAAAAUAACUCAAACCCUAAAAAAAAUAAAAAUACACGCCAGAAGGAGUUCAAACAACUCAAACCCAUAACGUUACAACACAGCCUCCCUGGAGCAGCAGAAACUAUGUAAGUCACUCCAUCUAUCUAUCUAUCCCUCUUACUCAUUAAUUCAAAACCCCUUUUCCUAUAGCUUUUGGUUUUGGGUGAAUUUUAUAUAUGUGAUGUGGUGAAAAUGUGUAGGGCAUUUUAGUAAUCAAAUUAAUUUGGAUUCUGAUUCAUGAAAAUUAGUAAACAAUAACAAUGGGAAUCAACCCCAUUCCUUUACUAAUUUCGUAUGUUUAGUAAACAGCUUAAUGGGAAUGAUUCUUCCCAUACCGAUUCAGUAGUUCCCCGAUUCCUAAAUUAUCUGAUUCCUUACUUUCUCCAUUACUGAUACGUAAACAUGCCCUGAAUUCCUAAUUUUGGAGGAAUUCAAUUCCUAAAUGGGAGGAGGUAAUCUAAUUCAGGGAGAACCAACCCAUCAGGAAUUCGUUUUUUUCUACCCAUUAUAUCCUCACACACUUUUCAAAAUUCCAAAUUUGCCACUCUCUUUCAUUACCCAACAAAACCUAAUACGUUCUGUCAAAAAAAUCCCUUCUUCUCUUUUUCUCAGUUGCUGCCAUCUUCUCCUAGCUACCACCUCUUCGUGCUCAAGAAUUCUCAGGUAAGAUUUCUUUCUUACAAGUUUUCUAGUUGUUGUUCUUAGUAUUUCUUGAAUAUUAUUAUUUUGUAUUCGUUUUCCCAUUGUUCUUUGGUUUUUUUUCUUUUGUUUUUCCUCCGUAUUCUUGUGGUAAUAUUAAUAUAAUAUGUAGAUGAUGAAUUUUUAUGGUUUAGUAAGGAUACCAUGAUAAGUUCGCCAUUGUUGAGUAGGAGCUACAGGUUUGGUUUUUGGGUUUUAGGUUUGGGUUUUUUUUUUCUUUUUCGUGCUGAGCUCUUUUUUUUUCUGCUUUUUUUUUUCUCUAAACUUGUUCUUGGGUCCUAGUCGGAGUUUUACAAGCUUUUAUGGGAAAAAUAAUUAGUAUAUCAAAGAGACUUAUCUUUCCUAUAUCAUAAUACGCCUUGUUAAUAUGCAUUCAGUCAAAGUAAG
RNAcentral lists this long non-coding RNA (1789 nucleotides) under Prunus persica (peach). RNAcentral describes it as "long non-coding RNA (PPER_LNC007168)". The record is from RNAcentral. Lineage: Eukaryota; Viridiplantae; Streptophyta; Magnoliopsida; Rosales; Rosaceae.